This is a long non-coding RNA of Quercus lobata, 1408 nucleotides long. RefSeq lists it as uncharacterized. The transcript has 7 exons. Lineage: Eukaryota; Viridiplantae; Streptophyta; Magnoliopsida; Fagales; Fagaceae. The record is from RefSeq and is a predicted model, not a curated record.
GUUCACAAAACACCAUGGAAAUAAAUGCUAAUUAAUGUGCCAGGCCUGAUUUAAAGCAACCUUAUUUUGUGGGUCACAAAUUUUUAGAAGAAUCCUUGAAAUAAACUACUCCAUACCACCGAUAUUUUAAAUAAAAGCAGGCAGUUUUUGCUCUCCCGCGUGAGCUGGCUUCAAGUAUCUACCUUUUUUCAACGCAACCCUAACCCAACCCUUAAAAUAGAUAUCUAAAAUAAUUUCAUCCCUUGAGAUAGAUAGAGAGGUAUAUUCCCAUUUUAAAAAAAAAAAAAAGAUAGAGAGGUAUAAACACACAUUUUCGUUCUCUCUCUCACACUGUAGUCAUUUUCCAUUUUCGUUCAGAAAACUCUCUCAGAAACUCAAAUAUCAGAAAAUUCACUCUCUCACAAACUUCCAUUGCUUUUGUACUUUGAAUAUCGGAAUCUGAAUCAGCUUCCACAACAAGCUUUUCUCUCUCAAUCACUUAGAGACUUAUAUCCGAUUCUAUAGGUUCAAACCAUUUAUGCAAAAAGAACCUGCGGGGCUUGAAGGCCAUUUGCUUGAUUGAUCAUAAAGGACUAAGAGGCAUUGGGAGAGGAACAAUAACUUACUGCUUGUGUUAUAGUAAUGGGAGCAUCCAAGCUUGUACAAACCCUCUUGUCUCAAGCACAUGGAGGAGGUACUACUUAGUUGGAACCAAAUCUAUUUCUCAUUAAGGAUCAGCUGUAAUAUAGGUUUCCCCAAUGGAUACAUUGAUUUCUCAUUAAGAAGACAAUUCAAAUCGGAUAAUACAGGAGAGUCUGAAGCUCAUUCAUCAUUAGAAAUUCUCUUUCACAAAAAUAUGGCUUUUAGCUACUCAAUUUGAGAUCCGGCAGUUGAAUCUCAAGGCUGCACUACAGAUCCUACGCAAUGCAAUUGGAAAAACUCCUAAAGAUAAGGCAAGAUAGUGGUGUCCUUGGCCAUUACUGAGGCAGCUUAUACGCCCAUGUUGCACUCUCGCAUUUUUACCGAGACUGAAAAGUACUGUGACCAGGAAUUUACCACUUGCAAGGAGGAUCAGCCAUUGUUUGUCCAAAUGAUCCAGACAUUUGUUAGAGGCUGCAAAGAGAGUGGAAGCUUUUUGUGACUAUGUUGACAUCAAUUUGGGGUGGCUUUGCUGUUAAUUUGGGUUGCUGAUAUAAGGAAACAUGUGAAGAAUUUAGAAUUUGGGAAGGGACAUGUAUAUAAAGCUGUGCAUGUAACCGAUUUUUAUUUCCUUUCAUCAACUUUGGCCUUAUAUAGGAUGUAUUAGGAUUUGUUCUGUUCACCUACUACCAUGAUAGAUUGUGCAAAGAACCUUGCUUUUACAAUUUAAAACUCUUGCCCCUGUUGACUAUUGAAUUAGAUCAUAUAAAUAUUGAUCGGGUUAAUUUGA